UACGUAGGGCGCAAGCGUUAUCCGGAAUUAUUGGGCGUAAAGAGCUCGUAGGCGGUUUGUCGCGUCUGCCGUGAAAGUCCGGGGCUCAACUCCGGAUCUGCGGUGGGUACGGGCAGACUAGAGUGAUGUAGGGGGAGACUGGAAUUCCUGGUGUAGCGGUGAAAUGCGCAGAUAUCAGGAGGAACACCGAUGGCGAAGGCAGGUCUCUGGGCAUUAACUGACGCUGAGGCUCGAAGGCCUAGGGUAGCGAAAGGGG
Molecule: ribosomal RNA, 256 nt
Filed under: uncultured bacterium
Lineage: Bacteria
Description: partial 16S ribosomal RNA
Rfam family: Bacterial small subunit ribosomal RNA
Source: RNAcentral